CGUUUAACGUCCGCUUUCCAUAAAGAACAGAUAAAUCUCACACAAUACCGUCAAAUUCCACUCAGUAGCCACAUAGACUCUUGCACUAGAAAUAAAAAUCCCAAAUUUCAUAUAUUCCCUUUCUAUCAAUGUAAAGACAGAAUCUCUACACAAGAAAGAAUCAACAAGGAGAAUCUUUUUAUUCAAAAAUUCCAAACGCUUCUUAAUAUG
Molecule: long non-coding RNA, 210 nt
Organism: Octopus sinensis (East Asian common octopus)
Lineage: Eukaryota; Metazoa; Mollusca; Cephalopoda; Octopoda; Octopodidae
Exons: 3
Source: RefSeq, a predicted model, not a curated record